Molecule: long non-coding RNA, 2507 nt
Filed under: Homo sapiens (human)
Lineage: Eukaryota; Metazoa; Chordata; Mammalia; Primates; Hominidae
Description: long non-coding RNA NONHSAT168788.1
Source: RNAcentral
GGACCCUGAGCCUAUGAAAUCCUGACUACAAAAAUGGUGGCGGGAGCCGUCCCUGGAUGGGGGUCACUAGCCUCCCCAUUGUGACUCGUUUGAGCUCUUAGCCAGGCGUGUAGUCUGGCGGGAGCCGUCGCGGCUGGCUCGGCAGCUCCAGGCUAUUCCGAGGAACAGUCUUCAGAGAGCCUGGGGUGCUGAUGGGGAAAAGCUGUUGCUGAGAUUUGACAAGUUUGGUCCUGAGAUGUCAGAAAGGAUUUCAGCUCUUCUGCCACCCCAAGGACGGUGGCGCGUAAAUCACAGUGAGCUGGCUUAUGUCAGGUCAACUGUGGAAUUUGAUCCUAGCGCAUUGCUCCCUCCUCUUCCUUGCCUGCGUCUCUCCCUCUCUCAGCUCUAGUUUGAGAUCAGCACAGAUUCCCUGGGUGAUUUUUGAGAAAACUGCCUCCUCUUUAGGACUUGGCAUCCCCUAACCUGCAUCAGGAAAGGGUGGCGACAGAUACUCUCACACCCAGGGAGGCUGCAAGGCCCACCCUCUACCCUCCACCUGGGUUCUCUGGCGUCGAGACUUGUGCCCUACAGUUCUGGGCCGUUGGGGUGAUGUCCCAGUGGGACCAGGGUGAGGGUGCAGGUAUCUGAGGGAGUAGUAGGACCAGAACCUCUAACCUUAGGGAGGCUUCCUGGGAGCCAAGCUUGGUGACUUAGAAUGUGAAUGUCUGACCCAUAUCCCACUACCUUUUGGUGGGUGCUGCAGAGGACAAUGGAGAGAGAGUCAACUCUGAAGAGUGGUCUUGUGGAAGAGGCAGCUGGCUGGUUCAGUGUGGCACUGGCAGCCUCCCUAAGGUUCCCAGGUAGAAGUUUCUGACAGGUAGAUUUCAGCUGUGUUUAAGGAAGAACUUUGAAGUUGUCAGAAUGAGCGGUCUUGUGAUAGUGAGCUCCCUGUCUCCAGAGGCAUGCAAGCAGGACACUUUCACAUAUGCAUUCAAGAUGACCUAUGCAAGGCGUUGUGCUAAGUGCUAGGAGUGCAGAGGAGAACGAGACCCAGUGGGGAAACAGGCACUUGCAAUGCUGCUGUGAGUGUGAGCAGAGGAGGACAUGUUGCAGAAGAAAUGCAAGUACAGUGAAGAAUAAGACUGGGGAACUUUUACAAUUCAGAGUGGCCUUCACUGUGGGCGGUCCGAAUUGAUCCCUGUAUACAGGUGCUUCUGGGGUGACAUUUUCCCUGCUCCAUGGAGCUCCGGGAGGAGUGCGGACCAACCCCUUCUUUGCAGGCCUGUCUGUGGGGUGCCACUCCUCCUCCCACCUCCCCACUGCACAGACAGCCCAUCAGUGUCCCUGAGCUGCUCCAGAAGGAUGCAGCUCUGAGGAGGCUCUGGGAGCGGUGUAUCCUAGCAACCUCUGAGGCUGGCAUCUGCAGGGCUAGGCCCAGACUCAAGGCUCUUUCUAAUUUGCCAGCCUUCCCUUAAUGAUAAGCUUUCCCACACGGAUGUGGAGUGGGGAGGAAGAGGGGAGAAGUGGGCAGGAAGUGUUGCCUCCAACCCCAUCACAGAGUAGGUCAAGCCUCGCCCACAAUACUGCCGGGGAUGGGGAAGGAGGGAGGGCACAGUGAGUCCGUUAACUGAAUAUGCCACUUGUCCAUCACCGUGGCCGGUUUAUCACCAUUUAGAGGACAAUGAAUCCAGGCAGUGAUCCACCAAUGAUAACUAACAUCAUAAAAAGAUACAUGGCCGGAUAUGAUGUUCCUUCUGACGGAAGACCACAACACCUGCUGAAAAAUCAAAUCUGAAUCGGAUCAAGCCUCUAGAGGCCCAGCACUUUGGGAGGCCGAGGCAGGCAGAUCACCUGAGGCCAAGAAUUAAAGACCAGCUUGGUCAACACGGCAAAACCUCAUCUCUACCAAAAAUACAAAAAUUAGCCGGGCAUGGUAGCACACUCCUGUAGUCCCAGCUACUCGGGAGGCCGAGGCAUGAGAAUUGCUUGAACCCGGAUGAAGCCUGUUCCCAGCUACUCGGGAGGCUGAGGCAUGAGAACUGCUUGAAUCCAGAUGGAGGAAGUUGCAGUGAGUGGAGAUCGCGCCACUGCACUCCAGCCUGGGCGACAGAGCAAGACUGUCUCAAAUAAUAAUAAUAAUAAUAAAGAUGUCUGGGAUGUGCUUUAAAAUAAUUCAUUGCAGAGAGAAGAAGGAAGUAAAAGUUUGGAUGAAACAAGGAGGCAGCACCCAGGGUCAUUCCUGGAGCAUAAACGAUCCCUGCAGAACAUGGGCUAGAAGACCCCACAGUGGGGCAGAGGCAGGUCCUGGACUGGGAUCCCAGCAGUGAGAAGACCUGGACAUCAACCCUAUUUCAUUGUGCCUCUGCAAAUCUCCCAACUUUUGGAGCUGUAGCUGCAAGCUCAGACUUGUGGUUUCCUGUACCUGGAGGAGGCCCAGGUCAUUCUGUUAAGUCCCUUGUCUAUUUCCUGCUUUUAUCUGGAUGCUGAGUUAAUUAUUUGAUCCAACAAUAAAACUAACAAGGUUUUAU